GUUGGUGUUGUGCAUCAAAAAUAAUUUUAACAUUCUAGUUUACCGAUUGGUUUACCGUAAUAAAUUAAGAUUAGUUUUAUAGAUAUCAAUAACAACUAAAUGUGGCAGUCUUGGAAAAAACCACGAGAGACGAGGGAGAGCGAGGGAGUGCCAAUAAUGUAACAAGCCAUAGAACAAAAGACAGUGGAAGAACAGUGGUAAGUAAUAGUACCUACUUACCAAAUGAAAUUAAAUGGUCUUCAAUUUAAAACUCAUUGUUAGUACUGUUUCUCUCAUGCAUGUAUAUUGCAAAUGGAUUUUGCUGAAUGCAUCACUAGAAUACUUAGUUAAUGGAAAAUAUAAUUUUAUACAUAGUGAUAUUGUUUUUAUAUUAUUACAUACUUGUAAGCUUAUUAUUUGGUAAAUAAAUGAGUAUUAAAAAUA
Ostrinia nubilalis (European corn borer) is the source of this 423-nucleotide long non-coding RNA. RefSeq lists it as uncharacterized. NCBI's taxonomy places the organism in Eukaryota, Metazoa, Arthropoda, Insecta, Lepidoptera, Crambidae. The record is from RefSeq and is a predicted model, not a curated record. The transcript is spliced from 2 exons.